Molecule: long non-coding RNA, 806 nt
Organism: Zerene cesonia (dogface butterfly)
Lineage: Eukaryota; Metazoa; Arthropoda; Insecta; Lepidoptera; Pieridae
Exons: 2
Source: RefSeq, a predicted model, not a curated record
UAUCUCGCGGUAAUUAUUUCUUGUUAUAAAUAAGAGCAACUCGCCUGCGCUCAGCUCACUCCUUGUAUAUUUCUGGCGAAAUGUCUCAUAAAGUAUUGAUAUCAUUCAUGUUGCUACUUACACUUAACUUGUUUGUUGCCGGUCAAGAGAUGGGGUUGGAUAACAUUGCUGGGGAGCAAGGCGUCGCAGAAGGAGACGGUUACGAGUAUACCGUACCAGCGCAAUUCAUAAACGAUUUAAUAAUCGAACACGCACAGAACCAAUUAUCGAAUCAAGUUUAACUUUUACAAUAUUUUAUCAAUCUACUUCAAAAAAGGAGGAGGUUAUUAAUGCGACUGUAUUUUUUAUACGUAAAAAAUAAAUACAAUAUCUUGGUUGUACUACUUCUACAUUAGGCCUUUUGUUGUGAGGAACAUAUUCAAACUCAUGUUCUUUUGCAAAAUUAUUGAUUAAUUUAAGCAUUUUUCGCUCAGAUUCAGAUUAAAAAAUAACGAGACCCAGAAAAAUUAUAAAUUAUUUUAUAAUAUUAUUACUGUAGGUAAUUUCCCUGUUUUGCAUUAUUUGGAACAAAAUAGUAUAACAUGUAAUGAACCAACCAAAAUUGUGAUUUUUUUCUGUAGAAGUCUGUAGUCUAUAAGCAUGUAAGAAGGAAUUUAGUAAAAGUAAAAGUGCGACACCCAGUAUAGACAGCAGUAGAAAUGUAUUACACAAAGUAACGCGUGCGUCGCCGAGAUCUAAUUUAGGCUCCUUUUCUUCUUGGUAUGUAAAGCUAAAAUAAAAUAAAGGAAAUGAUUCCAUCUGUAAAU